CUAGUCGAGCGAACUCGAGCCCUAAACGAGCCGCUUGAAAUUCUCAACAUCGUACCAUCAAUAAUCUUGUAUAGAACAUUCUCUAUAAUUUAAUACAAAAACAUGCAUGAUAGUUCAAAAUGCAAAAUAAUUAUAUGAAAUACAAUAUUAUAAUAUAAAAAAAAUAAUUUAUGAGUUGAAUAUAUAAUCUUUUCAGCCUCGUAUGUUUUCUCUUCCGCCUUCAAUCUCUAUAUUAUUCCUUUUCAUCUAUGCGGUCAAAAAAUAAAUAAAUUAUAUAAAUAAAUAUAUUGAAUUAAACUAUCCAAUCAUAUAUAACUAAAAUCAAAAUUUUGUAACAAUAAUUUUUUACGUUAAAAAUAUUCUGUACAUUUUCUUAAGCACAUAACUAAUGGUAAGGUAGGCAACGGCGGACGCAUGCUGUUAUUUAGUAGCUUGGAGGGCUUUAGACUUGGCCACUUGGAAUAAUAGACAAAGAAAAAAAAGAGAGAAAAAGAUUAGAGAUUUAGAGCUCUGUGAAAGAAAGAAAGGGAGAGAUUGUAAAUUUAGUAAAAUUUUGCCUUUUUGUUAGUCUAUUGGGUUUGUUUUUAUAGAUAAACAAUAUUAGCCCAAUUUUAACUAAACUUAAGUUACUCACUCAGCAUACAUAUAUAUAUAUAUAUAUAUAUAUAUAUA
This 672-nucleotide long non-coding RNA is filed under the name Ananas comosus (pineapple). RNAcentral describes it as "long non-coding RNA (ACOM_LNC015944)". Lineage: Eukaryota; Viridiplantae; Streptophyta; Magnoliopsida; Poales; Bromeliaceae. The record is from RNAcentral.